Molecule: ribosomal RNA, 468 nt
Filed under: uncultured bacterium
Lineage: Bacteria
Description: partial 16S ribosomal RNA
Rfam family: Bacterial small subunit ribosomal RNA
Source: RNAcentral
GAUGAACGCUGGCGGCGUGCUUAAUACAUGCAAGUCGAACGGAAAGGCCAGGAUCUUGCGGGGUGCUCGAGUGGCGAACGGGUGAGUAACACGUGAGUAAACUGCCCUUGACUGUGGGAUAACUCUAGGAAACUGGGGCUAAUACACGAUAGGAGCUCCUGCUGCAUGGUGGGGGUUGGAAAGUUUCGGCGGUUGUGGCUGGACUCGCGGCUUAUCCGCGUGGUGGUGAGGUAGUGGCUUACCAAGGUUUUGACGGGUAGCCGGCAUGAGAGGGUGACCGGGCACAAUGGGACUGAGAUAGGGACCAGAAUCCUACGGGAGGCAGUAGUGGGGAAUUUUGCGCAAUGGGCGGGAGCCUGAUGCAGCAACGCCGCGUGCGGGAUACCGGCCUUCGGGUUGUAAACCACUUUCGCCUGUAACGAAGAGUGAGUGACGGUAAUGGGUAAAGAAGCACCGGCUAACUACGUG